AUGAACGCUGGCGGCGUGCCUAAUACAUGCACGUCGAGCGAACGGACGAGAAGCUUGCUUUUCUGAUGUUAGCGGCGGACGGGUGAGUAACACGUGGAUAACCUACCUAUAAGACUGGGAUAACUUCGGGAAACCGGAGCUAAUACCGCAUAAUAUUUUGAACCGCAUGGUUCAAAAGUGAAAGACGGUCUUGCUGUCACUUAUAGAUGGAUCCGCGCUGCAUUAGCUAGUUGGUAAGGUAACGGCUUACCAAGGCAACGAUGCAUAGCCGACCUGAGAGGGUGAUCGGCCACACUGGAACUGAGACACGGUCCAGACUCCUACGGGAGGCAGCAGUAGGGAAUCUUCCGCAAUGGGCGAAAGCCUGACGGAGCAACGCCGCGUGAGUGAUGAAGGUCUUCGGAUCGUAAAACUCUGUUAUUAGGGAAGAACAUAUGUGUAAGUAACUGUGCACAUCUUGACGGUACCUAAUCAGAAAGCCACGGCUAACUACGUG
RNAcentral lists this ribosomal RNA (496 nucleotides) under uncultured bacterium. Its description in RNAcentral is "partial 16S ribosomal RNA". It matches the Rfam family "Bacterial small subunit ribosomal RNA", at positions 29 to 507 of the family's 1533-position model. The record is from RNAcentral.